RNAcentral lists this ribosomal RNA (465 nucleotides) under Vreelandella stevensii. RNAcentral's name for it is "partial 16S ribosomal RNA". It matches the Rfam family "Bacterial small subunit ribosomal RNA", at positions 338 to 795 of the family's 1533-position model. Lineage: Bacteria; Pseudomonadati; Pseudomonadota; Gammaproteobacteria; Oceanospirillales; Halomonadaceae. The record is from RNAcentral.
CCUACGGGAGGCUGCAGUGGGGAAUAUUGGACAAUGGGCGAAAGCCUGAUCCAGCCAUGCCGCGUGUGUGAAGAAGGCCUUCGGGUUGUAAAGCACUUUCAGUGGGGAAGAAAGCCUUGGGGCUAAUACCCUCGAGGAAGGACAUCACCCACAGAAGAAGCACCGGCUAACUCCGUGCCAGCAGCCGCGGUAAUACGGAGGGUGCGAGCGUUAAUCGGAAUUACUGGGCGUAAAGCGCGCGUAGGCGGUCUGAUAAGCCGGUUGUGAAAGCCCCGGGCUCAACCUGGGAACGGCAUCCGGAACUGUCAGGAUAGAGUGCAGGAGAGGAAGGUAGAAUUCCCGGUGUAGCGGUGAAAUGCGUAGAGAUCGGGAGGAAUACCAGUGGCGAAGGCGGCCUUCUGGACUGACACUGACGCUGAGGUGCGAAAGCGUGGGUAGCAAACAGGAUUAGAUACCCGGGUAGUC